UCACUGUCCGUAGUGUGUCGUUGCUAUGGAUACAGUAGCGUCGCAAUCAGUGAGGAAGCUGCUAACAGGCUCUUCAACGACCACCGAAAUGAUUCAGUGCAAAGCAGCCUCUACGUUAUUUACAGGGACGGUACUUGGAUAAACGACAGAUCAUGGAGCGUGAUGAUGAACUGAACGACUUGAAGCUCCAGUUCCAAGCACUACAAAAACAGCAGGAGAAAAGAAAACCGGUGAGGAAAAAAGAGAAAGAACUGGAUAAGCUCAACGCCAGUGUUGCCCAGGAUGAUUUGGAUCUAUCUAAGCAAGGUAUUCAGGGAGAAAGUCUGGACGACAGACUACUACAGAAUGAGAAUUUGCUGGACCAGCUGAGGGCGGUUAAAGAUGAAAAUGGAAGGCUCUUCAAACUUCUGAGUGAAAAGGAUUUUGAGAUUAAACACCUGAAGAAGAAAAGAGAAGAAGAACGACUGGUUUUGUCAGGCACAUCGGGUUUAGCAGGGGAUAUAGCAGCCACCAAGAUUGUUGAGCUGUCCAAGAAGAAUAGAGAGCUAACUGCCGAAAUUGAGCGAGAGAAGAUCAAAUCCAAGCAAAACAGUAACAGAAUCAAAGAGCUUGAGAAAGAGCUGCAGGCAUCUUUGGUGCAGUCUCCAAAUGGACAAAAGACUGACAAGAAGUCACAGAAUAAGAGCUCAUCUGAAGACUGUGAGCAGGAAAAUCCAGUGGUGAAAUCACUGCAGGAAAAAUUAGCUGCCGCCCAACUGAAAGUGUCUGAGUAUCGUAACCAGGUUCAGUCUGUCAAACAGGAGUUGAAAGUAGCUCAGAAGGUUUUGAUUAGUGAGGUUGGAGAGGAUGUUAACCUUCAGCAGUUGCUAAGCUGCCCAGGUAGCUUUAGAGGUCGCGCUCAGCAGAUACUUGCUCUUCAGACAAGGCUGCGGGACCUUGAGCAGCAGUUGAACCAGUCAACUCAGCGCAGGCAGCCAAGUGUCCAAAGUGUAGAAGAAGAAUUUCUGGGCGUGAGCGUCCUACAGAAAACCCCCCCUCAAGACAGGAACCUCAACUACAUCCGCACCAUCGAGAAGGAGAAGAGACAGGCAUUUGAGAGGAUCUCAGCGGACUAUGAGGCCCUCCUGAAAGACCACGAGGAUGUGAAGAAAAAGCUGGAAGCCUCUAAGGCCCGGAAUAAAUCUCUGUCUACCGAAAUGAAAACUCUGAAGGCGCAGAUCUCCACCCUCCUGGAGAAGGGUAAACAUGAUGAUGAGCUGGUGGAUGCUCUGUUGAAGCAACAAACCCGGAUGCAGGAGGUGCUGAGACAGCUCAACCAACAGCAGAACUUACAGAGCAAGGAGAUCCAGCAAAGCCAGAGACAACAGCUGAGCAGUGAGCCUUCAGAGCAGAGCACUCUCAUCCAGAAGCUUAAGGCCAAGAUCAAAGAACUAGAGGAGAAAAUCCAGCGGCUCUCGCUCAAGGAAGAGGGCAUGGAAAGACAGUCCAGCCCCAAGACAACAACUUGCAGUUCAGGAUCUCUUCCUGAAGAGGGAGACAUUGACAGGAGAAUAACAACUCCAGGUUCAUUUUCUAAAUUUGGUCAUAAACUGGUACUGCCUGCUGUGGGAUCUAGUGUGGAAUUCAAGGGCCCAAAUUCUUCAAAAUGUCCACAGUGUUCAGCUGAUGUGAGUGCACUGAUGACCCAGUGUAACGAAUACAGAAUCCUCUGUGUGGAGAAGGACAGACUCCUUGAGCUGGUUAAUGUCCUGCUGACAAAACCAGGUUCCACCAGAUCUUGGAUUUUAUUUAUUUAGUAUGAACCAUGACUGAUGGAUGCACUGAAGCAAAGACUUUGACAGACAACCUCCAGGCUAAAAGAGAAAGAGACGAACCAGAAGUUUUUGGAGGCAGAGCAGAAGUACGAGGAGGAGCGGCGAAGGAUCGUGAUCCUGGAGCAGCAGCUGGAGAGGACGGAAUUAGGUGCAAAGUAGGGACUGCAAAAGCAGCAAGGGUAGAACUGGUAUGCCAAGGCUGAAUAACAGCAUGAUGCAACAAUGCAAAACGGAUUUUCAUUUUUCUCAUUUGCUCGCUUGUGAGUGUCACGACUGUGCCCCUCAGGAGCAGCAUCCCUCAGCACCAGGGAGGCAAGAGUCUCUAAAAAAACCAGGAACUGUCCACAGACAAACCGAACAAACUGUCCAGCAAGUCUGUUGGCAUUUGUAAACAUUUCAUUUUUAACUGUCAAUACUGUAGAUGUCCUGACACUGAAAACAAGCAAGAUUUUUGUUUUUUGCAAUUCUAAAAUUUACACCACAUGACAGAAUAGUGACGCAUGACAGCGGACACACUGCCCAGUGCUCAUGACAACCUCAUGUGUGGGCUGCACAGAUGUUCAUGUUGCUCUUGUAUGUUGUCUCCUGGCUGGUCAUUCAGCUGGAGGAAACGGAGGCGCUGAGGGCAUCGCUAAAGAGCACUCUCCACCGUGACCUGCAGCUCUGCGGUGACGUGAUGAGACAAGUCAAGCAUGUUUUCCUGCAGGCUCUGUGACAACCCAGACAAGACACUAACCAGGGGAACGGGCUGGUCCCUGCUCAACCUCACGUCCAGCUGAGCCCUACCUUCUCCUGUCACAUGUGACAAACAGCAGCCUUCAGGAAACGGGUUCUCCCCGUCACAUAAACAUCAUACAGAUUUGCGUCUUUUUCCUCAUUUGAACCCUCAAAAUGAGCCUGAGAUGGUUCCUUUGCGUGUUUGGUGACUUUAGUUUAACUACUCGAGUACCUUGAGGAGCAUAUUUUUCAACUUAACCCUGAUGGCAUCAGACAAGCAUUCUUAAUGAUUGCAGAAAUGUUUGACACUGAUAGGAUGUCUCCUCAUGGUUUCUUAUCUCGUGUGCUUACUUUUUUUUCUAAAUGUCACUGUCACAUUUUAUUAGGUCUAUGUUUAUUUUUUUCCUCCGCUGGCAACCGUAUAAGCACAUCACAGGUGGAGAAAGCAGCAAUGUCUGUUUUUAAAAUAUUUUUGUACACUAAUUAGACAUCUAAUUUGAUCAACAAAAAAGGGAACCAAAUGUUCACCAAAUGUUUUAAUACAUUAUUUACCUUCAUGGCUAUAACCCCCCUAGAGCUUUUUGAGUUUUUCUUGGCUCCGGAUGGUUGUACGUAAACAUGUGAUAGGCCAAAUGUUAAACACUCCCGCUAAGUUCCCAAAAACAUCAAUAUUCAUUUGAAAUAUUACUGCUAAUCAUUUCUGAUUUGAAACCAGCUGUGUGGGAAUAGCGGUUGAAAAUGAAUGCGGAUGCAAUCUGUACAAACUCCCACUCUGGCCCUCCAUACAGUCCCCAGAGCAUGUCACACAUAUGUAUGAAAUGUCAUCUUUGCUUCUUAAUCCGAAAGUUGUCUGGUUAUGAGUAGCCUAGUGGGAGUGGCCUCUACAUUCAUACUAAUGUCGGAGUUAUUUUCUUCCAAUGUAGCCAAAAGGAUUUCAGCAGAAACCCCCUCCUCCUCCUCCUCCUCCUCCUCUCUCCACAUCACGCUUAAUUUAAAACCAUGGCUACGUUAGUGUGCUCCUUCAAAUACCGCACUAUUUCUUCCAGGACCCUGUGGGAGAUUGGCAGGUCCCCAUUGGACUGAGCGAGAAAGUGCCACAAGACAAAAAUAUCAGAGUUUGGAUGUGAUGAAGAAAGCCUUUAUGCUCAGAGUAACAAAAAACAGCUUGUGUUGAAUACCUCCUGGAUAGAAGUUGAGGCAGCCUUUAAUGUAGGCGAGUGAGAUGUGUCGUUGGAGGAACAGGUAAGAUACCAUAAGGUUUAGGACAGUGAACUGCCAGAUACGCAUCGAAUGUGGCGAUGUACGUCAGAAAGGGUGUUGAUGGAGCAAAUACUUGUCAUGGUCCCUAACUGCAUCCGAUUUCAGGGAAAAUGUUUGUUUAAUUUUUUUUUAAUCUACCUUAAGUCAACUCAAAAAUGAAGUCAGUGUUUGUGAACUUGUAGAACAUUUUCCCAAAUGUGUAAUCUAAAGCUUUUAUUUUAAACAUGUGGUAGUGGAUGGGAACAAGGCCAGUGCUGCCAGCUUUUAGAUUUGAAAUAAAAGUUGUCGCUGCUCAGUGUU
Molecule: RNA transcript, 4091 nt
Organism: Scatophagus argus
Lineage: Eukaryota; Metazoa; Chordata; Actinopteri; Scatophagidae
Gene: ccdc13
Gene name: coiled-coil domain containing 13
Exons: 15
Source: RefSeq, a predicted model, not a curated record